GCCAAAACAUCUUUUAAAAUACAUAUGGCACACCAUAUAACACCCUCAGAAAUCUUCUGUUUUUGAAUUCAUAAGAUUGCCUUAUAAGCAUGAUUGCAUAAGAGUAGAAUUCAUAAGGUUAAUUUAUGAUUAUCAUUGACUUUGUUUAUGUGAAAAAGUCAUAAGAAAACCAUAUAACAUUCAAAAUGGAAAUAGCGAAGACGAAGAGCAAAGGGACAAUGUCCACCAGCAAAUGAAAAAAUAUUGUUUUAUCGAACCCCUGGGAGCCGGAGGUCUGGAUUCGAACUUGCUGACGACGGGGAGCGCGGAGUUUUGGCAUCGUACGUCAUCUGGAGCGUAGCGGAGCACGACAACCGGAAUGUGUUUGAACAACAAGCUGGUGCGGUGGAAGUUGCGACGCUCCGGAAAAGUCACGGUUUGUAACUUGGUCACCGGCCUCGUCAGAGACAUCCACUAGGAACUCCCGGAGAUAGAUCUCGGCAUGAGUUCUACAGAGUGGAUCCGGCGUGGCCGCCAAGAACGAUUGAAGGAAAACGAACAACGAUUUGACCAAAAGCAGGCGG
Long non-coding RNA from Culex quinquefasciatus (southern house mosquito), 563 nucleotides. RefSeq lists it as uncharacterized. The transcript has 3 exons. The record is from RefSeq and is a predicted model, not a curated record. NCBI's taxonomy places the organism in Eukaryota, Metazoa, Arthropoda, Insecta, Diptera, Culicidae.